RNAcentral lists this ribosomal RNA (414 nucleotides) under Cladocoryne floccosa. RNAcentral describes it as "partial 16S ribosomal RNA". It matches the Rfam family "Bacterial large subunit ribosomal RNA", at positions 1923 to 2489 of the family's 2925-position model. The record is from RNAcentral. Lineage: Eukaryota; Metazoa; Cnidaria; Hydrozoa; Anthoathecata; Cladocorynidae.
UUCAAUGGCCGCGGUAACUCUGACCGUGAUAAAGUAGCAUAAUCACUUGUCACUUAAUUGGUGACUGGAAUGAAUGGCUAAACGAAUCCAACACUGUCAAAAGUAAAAGUCUUAUAAAAUUAAGAUAAUAGUAAAGAUGCUAUUUAAAACUGUAAGACGAGAAGACCCUAUAGAGCUUAACUAUAACUCUUUAAAAUAUUAUUAAAUUUAUUUAAUUUUAUAAAGAGAUAGGUAGUUUAGUUGGGGCGACUACUUUCUUCAAAAAACGAAAGUAAACAAAAUUAAUUGCUUAAUUUACUGUAUAAUUUAUGAAUUUAACAGUUAUAAUAAUAGGUAAUAAUGACCCGUUAUAUAUUAAAAUAAAUUAUAACGAUCAAUAAAUAAAAGCUACCUUAGGGAUAACAGGAUAAUCUU